This is a long non-coding RNA of Wyeomyia smithii (pitcher-plant mosquito), 332 nucleotides long. RefSeq lists it as uncharacterized. Lineage: Eukaryota; Metazoa; Arthropoda; Insecta; Diptera; Culicidae. The transcript is spliced from 3 exons. The record is from RefSeq and is a predicted model, not a curated record.
AUUCGUUUAAAGUUUGUUCUCUUUCUUUCGACGUGUGUCAAGAAGUAGUAAACGUGUUUUACUGCGGAUUAAAAAAUGAGAGCGAAGUGGCGUAAGAAGCGUAUGCGAAGGCUAAAGCGUAAGCGCAGGAAGAUGCGUGCGAGAUCCAAAUAAGCUACUGUACCAUACAGUAACGGAUCAUUACGUCUAUUAUUAUCUGAGGACUUGCAAACUGGUAAAACGUUAAGAGAUCAAAACCGGCCGUGAAAUUGUCAAAUCUCGGUGCAUUUAUGAAUAAGUAUUAAACGUUUUUGCCAUUUCGCACUUGAUUCAGUGAAAAUGGAGCGAAUCAA